Hyposmocoma kahamanoa is the source of this 146-nucleotide long non-coding RNA. RefSeq lists it as uncharacterized. The record is from RefSeq and is a predicted model, not a curated record. Lineage: Eukaryota; Metazoa; Arthropoda; Insecta; Lepidoptera; Cosmopterigidae. The transcript is spliced from 3 exons.
CCAGGGUCUUCGCCAGGGCCAGGUUUCCUUACAAUGACCGCGUUACACUGGAUGCCAGACGUUUCAGAGUUGAAUGGAGAACAUUUCCGUUUGAUGGACUUGGGGGAGUCCUGCUCACUGUGGUUGCUUUCCAGCCGCUGUCCAUU